GAGGAAUAUUGGUCAAUGGGCGAGAGCCUGAACCAGCCAAGUAGCGUGCAGGAAGACGGCCCUAUGGGUUGUAAACUGCUUUUAUGUGGGGAUAAAGUGAGCUACGUGUAGUUUAUUGCAGGUACCACAUGAAUAAGGACCGGCUAAUUCCGUGCCAGCAGCCGCGGUAAUACGGAAGGUCCAGGCGUUAUCCGGAUUUAUUGGGUUUAAAGGGAGCGUAGGCCGUGGAUUAAGCGUGUUGUGAAAUGUAGACGCUCAACGUCUGAAUUGCAGCGCGAACUGGUUCACUUGAGUAUGCACAACGUAGGCGGAAUUCGUCGUGUAGCGGUGAAAUGCUUAGAUAUGACGAAGAACUCCGAUUGCGAAGGCAGCUUACGGGAGCACAACUGACGCUGAAGCUCGAAGGUGCGGGUAUCAAACAGGAUUAGAUACCCCGGUAGUCCGCACAGUAAACGAUGGAUGCCCGUUGUUAGUUCACUUAAGAAUUAGCGACCAAGCGAAAGCAUUAAGCAUCCCACCUGGGGAGUACGCCGGCAACGGUG
This 542-nucleotide ribosomal RNA is filed under the name uncultured bacterium. RNAcentral's name for it is "bacterial SSU rRNA". It matches the Rfam family "Bacterial small subunit ribosomal RNA", at positions 356 to 896 of the family's 1533-position model. The record is from RNAcentral.